RNAcentral lists this long non-coding RNA (451 nucleotides) under Lathyrus oleraceus (garden pea). Its description in RNAcentral is "Pisum sativum (pea) long non-coding RNA (PSAT_LNC033280)". Lineage: Eukaryota; Viridiplantae; Streptophyta; Magnoliopsida; Fabales; Fabaceae. The record is from RNAcentral.
GAAAAUGAUGUUGAUAUAUUGGUUGAAAUUUCUUUACAUAUUAAUGAUAAUGAAAAAUGUGAAUCAAAGAAUCUUGAAAAACAACAAACAAAUAGCUGCAUGGGUGAGCUGUUAUAAUUUAAACAUUUACCAAAAGAAAGUAAGAUUAUAUUGUAUCAGUAAGGUUGAUAGGAAGUAUAUUAUGAACAACUUUUCGUAUAAACAUUUUCCUUGCUUAGGGACGAAUUGGAUCGGGACUUGAGGGUUUAGAUGGACCACGAAGAAACUGUAAGAAAAGCCCAUCAAAUUCUUCAGAAAUCCGUCCAUCUUGCAAAGGUCUACAAUCAACUCCAAGUUGAGGAGAAACGACCAUAAUGAAAAAAAUGAUCACGAUAACGGUAAAAAGGAUCCUCCAAAUGUUACAAGAGAAAGCCAUGUAUUUGAUAUCUUUAAUUUGUAUUAACGUAAUUAA